AUGGCUGAUGAAAAAGGUUUGAGGGUGUUGCUGCGGUUUCGGGAGGUUAAUAGUGUUAACAAAAAACUAUUGAGGGAUUUUCAUAAACCACGGGUUAGGGAAAUUUCUUUGUCUUUCUCAUGUUUUUGUAACAAACCAGAAAAAUUAUAUCUUUAUAAAUUAAAAAAAAUGACAACAGUAAUUAUCAAUUCUUAUGCAGGCGCAAGUUUUUAUUUGGACAUGUUGGAGAAGGGCAGCAGGCUGUAUAGAAUACUGUUUUAG
Non-coding RNA from Vicia faba (fava bean), 261 nucleotides. Lineage: Eukaryota; Viridiplantae; Streptophyta; Magnoliopsida; Fabales; Fabaceae. The record is from the annotation of a GenBank genome assembly.